CUUGGUCAUUUAGAGGAAGUAAAAGUCGUAACAAGGUCUCCGUUGGUGAACCAGCGGAGGGAUCAUUAAAGAGCACACGCUCCAAAACCCCUGUGAACCUCUACCAGUCGUUGCUUCGGCGGGCAGCCCCAGGGCGGGGCUGUAGCCUAUCCAGGCGCCCGCCGGAGGUCAAAAAAACUCUGUUCUAGCGGUAUCUUCUGAGUACAAGACACUAAAGUUAAAACUUUCAACAACGGAUCUCUUGGUUCUGGCAUCGAUGAAGAACGCAGCGAAAUGCGAUAAGUAAUGUGAAUUGCAGAAUUCAGUGAAUCAUCGAAUCUUUGAACGCACAUUGCGCCCGCUAGUAUUCUAGCGGGCAUGCCUGUUCGAGCGUCAUUUUCACCCCUCAGGCCCAGCCUGGCGUUGGGGCUUCUGCGGCCGCCUCAGGGCGCCGCAGGCCCUCAAAUACAGUGGCGGGCUCGCUGGGGCCCCGGGCGUAGUGAUCUCUCUCGCCCUGGGUCGCCUCCGCGGGUUCUAGCCGUGAAACAACCCACUUAGAAUCUCUGACCUCGGAUCAGGUAGGAAUACCCGCUGAACUUAAGCAUAUCAAUAAGCGGAGGA
RNAcentral lists this ribosomal RNA (600 nucleotides) under Cyanoannulus petersenii. Its description in RNAcentral is "eukaryotic LSU rRNA". The stretch from base 222 to 375 matches the Rfam family "5.8S ribosomal RNA". Lineage: Eukaryota; Fungi; Ascomycota; Sordariomycetes; Woswasiaceae. The record is from RNAcentral.